This 1606-nucleotide long non-coding RNA is filed under the name Anas platyrhynchos platyrhynchos (common mallard). Its description in RNAcentral is "lncRNA (ENSAPLG00000023331.1)". Lineage: Eukaryota; Metazoa; Chordata; Aves; Anseriformes; Anatidae. The record is from RNAcentral.
AUGGGUGCCUGGCCCUCGCCUCUGCUCUGGAGCUUGGCCACGGCGUGUCUGACAGGUAUUGCUUUAGGCCAGCUGACCACUACCCCAGCCCCGAUUGCAUCAACCCCACUGCCUCCCAGUGCCACCACGACCUCUGCCUCCACACCCCCAGCUGCUGGGGGGGUGGCCACCACCGCAGACCUCGGCACGGCCACAGCUGUGCCAUCGGCAGACCCCAGCACAAACACAUUUGCUCCAGCUCUGCCCACCACCCUGCCGGUGACUGCGACCAUCCCUGGGAUCACGACCACCUCUCACGCACCCACAGCCGCAUCCACCGGUGCCUCGGCCACCCCUCCAGAUGUCACCACGUCUCCUGGGGAUCCACCAACAGCUCCGUCCCUCACCACCGCUGUGCCCUCCAACUGCAGCAGAGUGAACGUGACAGCGUGUGCCCCUUGCUCCCCAGGGACGUUUCCCAAUGAUGAUGCCUGGAGUUGCUCGUGCUGCACAGGAGGCUCGUGCACGGACCCUGGUGCCUGCACUCCCUGCCCAGUGGGGCACUACCAGCCCGCGUGGGGACAGCAGCAGUGCCUGCCGUGUCCGCGGGGACACUACGCCAAGUAGGUGACCCAGGGUGGUGGAGGUGGCUGGUGGCACAGAGCAGGGACCUUCUCCCUCAAAACCCUUCCCAGUCUCACAGAACUCUUCCCAUGGGCUAUGGGAAAGUGCUCCCAGUUUUUUUUUUUCCCAGGGGACCUGCUCAGUGCUGCUAAAUCUUUCUCGCCAGGAGCCUCUGGUGGUGUUGUGCUUGUGCUGAGGGCUUCUCGGUGUCCAGCUCUCUGGUGGCCCCUCAUGUUUCAGACGUGUUAUAGGGGGAACGGAGAUCUGCCAUGAAUUAGGGACAGCGUUUGGGACUGAGGUGGGGGGAUCUUCAGCAUGGACGUGGUGCUUUUCUCCUGGGUGCCUCAAGCAAACAGCUUCGUUCCUGCAUUUUGCACAACUCCUUCCUCACACUACGUUUCCCUUCCUCCAAGGGAUCUCAUAACAGGCCUGGUGCCUGGCCCUCUGCUGCGGCCUGGCCUGUGGCCACUUCUAGCCCCUCGGGGCUCCAGGUGGCCUGCAGGGAGCGGUUCUGUCCCAGGCCUUUGGAAAGGAGGAAAAAGGCUGAAAGGAGGGAGCAGGGAGAAAGAGCCAUGGCAGCCCCAGUGGCAUUGCUUCCAGUUUUUGUGGUACUGGGACUUCUCCCACUGCCCCCGGGCCAUGAGCAGCUCCAGCUGAUGCAGAGCCCUGUGUUGGCUUGGUUUAAGCCAAGUAUUUGCUUUCUUUUUUUCCUCCACAAAUCUUGCUCAGCCCUGGGGUUUCCAAAGGGAUUAAAGAGCGUGUCCUUGUUUUCCUCCAAAUCAUCCCUGCAUGUGUUAACAAAUUCUUAAGCCCACAUGCUCAUUGUUGGGGAUUUGGCUCUGUAAUGCAUGCACCAGAUUUCCUCCUUCUCUGCCUUUCCAUUUUCUUUCCCAUCCUCCCAGAGGCCUGACGCGUUACAUCCCCGUUCCCACAGUCCCUGUUGUUUAAGGUCAGGACUCCCACACACCAGUGCCUGCGGCUGAGCUCCCUUUUCGACUCUGUG